GUUGCUUCAUUUCUUCACAAACUUUUAAUCUUUCUUGCAUAAAGAUCCGAUCUUUGAGGUGGGUUUAUCUUUAUUCUAAAUUCCAACAUUUUUUGAGCAUUUUUUUGUGAUUUUUGUGAUUUUUAGCCGUGAAUUAGGUUAACUGAUGGCAAAUAAAGGACAGGUUUGACCUACUUUUAACUCCGCAAAUACCCAUAAAACUUUAGAGAGAUUUUAUAGGCUGAUUCUAAACACACCCCCUCUCCUCCUGAUUAUACCCCUUGUGAGAGGAAAACUGUCUGUCCCACGCAGACCCCACCUGUAAGUAUGUGAGAGAAGGGGGGUGUAAAAAGUAAUUAGGGGGUGUAGAAAGUAGCACCUAUUUUAUAUCAUCAUCAGUCGAUGGUCUGAUGGCUUCUACUUCAAGAAUCUUGUGGUUUUUAUGCUUUUAAACUUCAUCUUUUGACUGUUUUUUCUUUUAUUUUUUCCUCGGAUUUAGAUUUGCUAACUCUUUGAGAUGAUACAUUUAACUUGUAUAAAGAAGGUCUAAUAGGAGAUGUGCAGUAGCCAUUCUAGCUUUAGCUGAUGGACCAGGUGGUAGAGACUAGAGUUCAAAUCCUCAAAUGAGUAUAAUUAGUAUUUUUGGUGUAGUAUCGCAUAUAAUUUAUAUAUGUGUGGGCCAUCGGGGGGCAAAAGUGAAAGUGCACUAAUUUUAACGUUAUUUUACUAAUUUCGUGAAAAUAACGUUAAAAGCUGAGGACGGUUGCAUCAUGUGGUGGCAUUGAUAGCUGAAAGACAAAAGGGUACAUGCACUAAUCGGUCUUUGUCCCGAUUGCCGAGUGUUAUGUGCCUUAUGUCCAAGGCUUGAUGCAAAACUACUAUCGAGCCGGGGGUUUCACUGGAAGCAGUCUCUCUAUUCCUAUGGGGUAGAGGUAAAGCUGUCUACAUCUUACCCUCCUCAGACCCUACCUUUGCUUUGCUAUUGGUGAGAUUUACUGAGUAUGAUGAUGAUGAUGAUGAUGGUGUAGUAUAGAUUAGAAAUAAUAUUACCUUUAGCGU
This 1038-nucleotide long non-coding RNA is filed under the name Helianthus annuus (common sunflower). RNAcentral describes it as "hypothetical non coding rna". The record is from RNAcentral. Lineage: Eukaryota; Viridiplantae; Streptophyta; Magnoliopsida; Asterales; Asteraceae.